CUGGUUUAGUCCUGGUUCAGUUCUGGUUUAGUCAUGGUUUAGUCUGGUUUAGUCUGGUUUAGUCCUGGUUUAGUCCUGAGUUAGUCCUGGUUUAGUCUGGUUUAGUCCUGGUUUAGUACUGGUUUAGUCAUGGUUUAUCCUAGUUUAGUCUGGUUUAGUCUGGUUUAGUCCUGGUUUAGUCCUGGUGUAGUCCUGGUUUAGUCCUGGUUUAGUCUGGUUUAGUCCUAGUUUAUCCUGGUUUAGUCCUGGUUCAGUCCUGGUUUAGUCCUGGUUUAGUCUGGUUUAGUCCUGGUUUAGUCCCGGUUUAGUCUGGUUUAUCCUGGUUUAGUCCUGGUGUAGUCCUGGUUUAGUCCUGGUUUAGUCUGGUUUAGUCUGGUUUAGUCCUGGUUUAGUCCUAGUUUAGUCUGGUUUA
Long non-coding RNA from Periophthalmus magnuspinnatus, 412 nucleotides. RefSeq lists it as uncharacterized. The record is from RefSeq and is a predicted model, not a curated record. The transcript is spliced from 4 exons. NCBI's taxonomy places the organism in Eukaryota, Metazoa, Chordata, Actinopteri, Gobiiformes, Gobiidae.